AACGAACGCUGGCGGCAUGCCUAACACAUGUAAGUCGAACGAGACCUUCGGGUCUAGUGGCGCACGGGUGCGUAACGCGUGGGAACCUGCCCUUAGGUUCGGAAUAACUCCCCGAAAGGGGUGCUAAUACCGGAUAAUGUCUUCGGACCAAAGAUUUAUCGCCUUUGGAUGGGCCCGCGUUGGAUUAGCUAGUUGGUAGGGUAAAAGCCUACCAAGGCGACGAUCCAUAGCUGGUCUGAGAGGAUGAUCAGCCACACUGGGACUGAGACACGGCCCAGACUCCUACGGGAGGCAGCAGUGGGGAAUAUUGGACAAUGGGCGAAAGCCUGAUCCAGCAAUGCCGCGUGAGUGAUGAAGGCCUUAGGGUUGUAAAGCUCUUUUACCCGGGAUGAUAAUGACAGUACCGGGAGAAUAAGCUCCGGCUAACUCCGAG
This 433-nucleotide ribosomal RNA is filed under the name uncultured bacterium. RNAcentral describes it as "partial 16S ribosomal RNA". It matches the Rfam family "Bacterial small subunit ribosomal RNA", at positions 29 to 507 of the family's 1533-position model. The record is from RNAcentral.